AGCGAACGCUGGCGGCAAGCCUAACACAUGCAAGUCGAACGAACUCUUCGGAGUUAGUGGCGGACGGGUGAGUAACACGUGGGAACGUGCCUUUUGGUUCGGAAUAACUCAGGGAAACUUGUGCUAAUACCGAAUGUGCCCUUCGGGGGAAAGAUUUAUCGCCAUUAGAGCGGCCCGCGUCUGAUUAGCUAGUUGGUGAGGUAACGGCUCACCAAGGCGACGAUCAGUAGCUGGUCUGAGAGGAUGACCAGCCACACUGGGACUGAGACACGGCCCAGACUCCUACGGGAGGCAGCAGUGGGGAAUCUUGCGCAGUGGGCGAAAGCCUGACGCAGCCAUGCCGCGUGAAUGAUGAAGGUCUUAGGAUUGUAAAAUUCUUUCACCGGGGACGAUAAUGACGGUACCCGGAGAAGAAGCCCCGGCUAACUUCGUG
Molecule: ribosomal RNA, 433 nt
Filed under: uncultured bacterium
Lineage: Bacteria
Description: partial 16S ribosomal RNA
Rfam family: Bacterial small subunit ribosomal RNA
Source: RNAcentral